This 1012-nucleotide ribosomal RNA is filed under the name Staphylococcus sp. HMSC061G12. Its description in RNAcentral is "bacterial LSU rRNA". It matches the Rfam family "Bacterial large subunit ribosomal RNA", at positions 1914 to 2925 of the family's 2925-position model. Lineage: Bacteria; Bacillati; Bacillota; Bacilli; Caryophanales; Staphylococcaceae. The record is from RNAcentral.
GAAGCCCCAGUAAACGGCGGCCGUAACUAUAACGGUCCUAAGGUAGCGAAAUUCCUUGUCGGGUAAGUUCCGACCCGCACGAAAGGCGUAACGAUUUGGGCACUGUCUCAACGAGAGACUCGGUGAAAUCAUAGUACCUGUGAAGAUGCAGGUUACCCGCGACAGGACGGAAAGACCCCGUGGAGCUUUACUGUAGCCUGAUAUUGAAAUUCGGCACAGCUUGUACAGGAUAGGUAGGAGCCUUAGAAGCGUGAGCGCCAGCUUACGUGGAGGCGCUGGUGGGAUACUACCCUAGCUGUGUUGGAUUUCUAACCCGCGCCAUUGAUCAUGGCGGGAGACAGUGUCAGGCGGGCAGUUUGACUGGGGCGGUCGCCUCCUAAAGUGUAACGGAGGCGCUCAAAGGUUCCCUCAGAAUGGUUGGAAAUCAUUCAUAGAGUGUAAAGGCAUAAGGGAGCUUGACUGCGAGACCUACAAGUCGAGCAGGGUCGAAAGACGGACUUAGUGAUCCGGUGGUUCCGCAUGGAAGGGCCAUCGCUCAACGGAUAAAAGCUACCCCGGGGAUAACAGGCUUAUCUCCCCCAAGAGUUCACAUCGACGGGGAGGUUUGGCACCUCGAUGUCGGCUCAUCGCAUCCUGGGGCUGUAGUCGGUCCCAAGGGUUGGGCUGUUCGCCCAUUAAAGCGGUACGCGAGCUGGGUUCAGAACGUCGUGAGACAGUUCGGUCCCUAUCCGUCGUGGGCGUAGGAAAUUUGAGAGGAGCUGUCCUUAGUACGAGAGGACCGGGAUGGACAUACCUCUGGUGUACCAGUUGUCGUGCCAACGGCAUAGCUGGGUAGCUAUGUAUGGACGGGAUAAGUGCUGAAAGCAUCUAAGCAUGAAGCCCCCCUCAAGAUGAGAUUUCCCAACUUCGGUUAUAAGAUCCCUCAAAGAUGAUGAGGUUAAUAGGUUCGGGGUGGAAGCAUAGCGAUAUGUGGAGCUGACGAAUACUAAUCGAUCGAAGACUUAAUCAAAUU